GGAGGCUUAUGAUGUUUACAGAACUGCCUACAUUGUCUGACUGUCUUUUGAGCAAGAAAAGAAUUUGUUCUGAAGACUCU
This 80-nucleotide small nucleolar RNA is filed under the name Theobroma cacao (cacao). Its description in RNAcentral is "Small nucleolar RNA SNORD34". It matches the Rfam family "Small nucleolar RNA SNORD34". From Rfam's summary of the family: snoRNA U34 is found in intron 5 of the ribosomal protein L13a gene in humans. U34 is a member of the C/D class of snoRNA which contain C (UGAUGA) and D (CUGA) box motifs, and functions in directing site-specific 2'-O-methylation of 25S rRNAs. The record is from Rfam by way of RNAcentral. Lineage: Eukaryota; Viridiplantae; Streptophyta; Magnoliopsida; Malvales; Malvaceae.